ACUGGUGCCAGCAGCCGCGGUAAUUCCAGCUCCAAUAGCGUAUAUUAAAGUUGUUGCAGUUAAAAAGCUCGUAGUUGAAUUUCGGGAUCAAAUUGUCGGUCGUGCCUUGGUACGCACUGGCAUUACUGGUUCCUACCUUCUGAAGAACCGCCAUUGUCAUUAAUUUGGUGUCGUGGGGAAUUCAGGACUGUUACUUUGAAAAAUUAGAGUGUUUAAAGCAGGCGCACGCUUGAAUACAUUAGCAUGGAAUAAUGAAAUAGGACGUUUGAUUCUAAUUUUGUUGGUUUCUAGGGUCGACGUAAUGAUUAAUAGGGAUAGUUAGGGGCAUUAGUAUUCAAUUGUCAGAGGUGAAAUUCUUGGAUUUAUUGAAGACUAACUACUGCGAAAGCAUUUGCCAAGGAUGUUUUCAUUAAUCAAGAACGAAAGUUAGGGGAUCGAAGACGAUCAGAUACCGUCGUAGUCUUAACCAUAAACUAUGCCGACUAGGGAUCGGAUGAUGUUAAUUUUUUAAUGACUCAUUCGGCGCCUUACG
Molecule: ribosomal RNA, 532 nt
Filed under: uncultured Glomus
Lineage: Eukaryota; Fungi; Glomeromycota; Glomeromycetes; Glomerales; Glomeraceae
Description: SSU rRNA
Rfam family: Eukaryotic small subunit ribosomal RNA
Source: RNAcentral